CGGCGUCGAGCGGCGGACGGGUGAGUAAUGCCUAGGAAAUUGCCCUGAUGUGGGGGAUAACCAUUGGAAACGAUGGCUAAUACCGCAUAAUACCUUCGGGUCAAAGAGGGGGACCUUCGGGCCUCUCGCGUCAGGAUAUGCCUAGGUGGGAUUAGCUAGUUGGUGAGGUAAUGGCUCACCAAGGCGACGAUCCCUAGCUGGUCUGAGAGGAUGAUCAGCCACACUGGAACUGAGACACGGUCCAGACUCCUACGGGAGGCAGCAGUGGGGAAUAUUGCACAAUGGGCGCAAGCCUGAUGCAGCCAUGCCGCGUGUGUGAAGAAGGCCUUCGGGUUGUAAAGCACUUUCAGUCGUGAGGAAGGUAGUGUAGUUAAUAGCUGCAUUAUUUGACGUUAGCGACAGAAGAAGCACCGGCUAACUCCGUGCCAGCAGCCGCGGUAAUACGGAGGGUGCGAGCGUUAAUCGGAAUUACUGGGCGUAAAGCGCAUGCAGGUGGUUUGUUAAGUCAGAUGUGAAAGCCCGGGGCUCAACCUCGGAAUAGCAUUUGAAACUGGCAGACUAGAGUACUGUAGAGGGGGGUAGAAUUUCAGGUGUAGCGGUGAAAUGCGUAGAGAUCUGAAGGAAUACCGGUGGCGAAGGCGGCCCCCUGGACAGAUACUGACACUCAGAUGCGAAAGCGUGGGGAGCAAACAGGAUUAGAUACCCUGGUAGUCCACGCCGUAAACGAUGUCUACUUGGAGGUUGUGGCCUUGAGCCGUGGCUUUCGGAGCUAACGCGUUAAGUAGACCGCCUGGGGGAGUACGGUCGCAAGAUUAAAACUCAAAUGAAUUGACGGGGGCCCGCACAAGCGGUGGAGCAUGUGGUUUAAUUCGAUGCAACGCGAAGAACCUUACCUACUCUUGACAUCCAGAGAACUUUCCAGAGAUGGAUUGGUGCCUUCGGGAACUCUGAGACAGGUGCUGCAUGGCUGUCGUCACCUCCUGUUGUGAAAUGUUGGGUUAAUUCCC
RNAcentral lists this ribosomal RNA (1007 nucleotides) under Vibrio sp. Its description in RNAcentral is "bacterial SSU rRNA". It matches the Rfam family "Bacterial small subunit ribosomal RNA", at positions 86 to 1088 of the family's 1533-position model. Lineage: Bacteria; Pseudomonadati; Pseudomonadota; Gammaproteobacteria; Vibrionales; Vibrionaceae. The record is from RNAcentral.